AGUGCUGGGAUUACAGGCAUGAGCCACUGCGCCCGGCCAGAAACAGACAUUCUUAUUCCUACAGAGCCCGUCAUGACAACAGCUGCCCUGCAGCACCUCUUCCAGACAUCACAAUGGGAAACAGGAAAUACGCUGUCCCUCUCCAACCUCUGCCUUCAUCUCCCCUCCCCUUGUACAAGUUCCUUCACAGAAGUUCUUUCACAUAAAUUUUGUGCAAAUGGAUUCCUGUGGACUUCAACUCUGACAAGUCUGAAUCCCAGUGGAAAUGCAAGUUAGCCUCAAACUGAGAACCUCAUACUACAUUCAGAAUAUGUUUUCAUGUUUCCAAAAUGUCACCAACAAUGAGAUGACAGGAACCUGAACCAAAAGGAUGAGAGUAGAGAUGGAAAGUAAAUGUUGUUACAAAGGCUAAAUCAGAAAUUUGUCCCAGAUCUAGUAUGGAUCAUGAAGAAGAAGAUAGAAUGAAAGAACACUCUUACCAUUCUGAGUGCCGAAAGCAGGAGGUGGUUCCUAAAAAUAUGAAGUUUGGGUAUCCUAUACAAUGAGAGAAGAAUGUCUAUCUUCAUUAUGUUCAAGUACCCAGAUAAAUGAACCUGCUGUUAUAAGGGGGAGACAUGACAAGCUUUACGUGUUGAAAAUACAAAGAGCCUGACCCUACAGGAAUCUUUCUUUCUGGCCUUUUUCAUCGAAACAAGGAAAGACUCUAUCUUUUGGGGGACCAGCUUUGUCAGUGACACUUCUGCUGAAGACAAGAUGAAUG
This is a long non-coding RNA of Homo sapiens (human), 760 nucleotides long. RefSeq annotates it as long independently transcribed non-coding RNA 2819. The transcript is spliced from 4 exons. NCBI's taxonomy places the organism in Eukaryota, Metazoa, Chordata, Mammalia, Primates, Hominidae. The record is from RefSeq and is a predicted model, not a curated record.